RNAcentral lists this unclassified non-coding RNA (227 nucleotides) under Hevea brasiliensis (rubber tree). Lineage: Eukaryota; Viridiplantae; Streptophyta; Magnoliopsida; Malpighiales; Euphorbiaceae. The record is from RNAcentral.
UCAUCAUCUGAACUAGAAUUUUCAAUCUUCCGCUCUUGAAUUGCUGGAAAUAACCGUGAACGAAUAUCAGGAGAAAUCUGUUGUUGUUGGCGGGGAUCAGGAGAAAUUUGUUGUUGUUGGCGGGAAGAGUGAGAUGAUGCAGUUGAUGCCUCUUUCUUAAGCGAUUUUUCUGACAUCUUUUGUGCCUCUCCCACCUGUUUGCACACCUUAUCUAAGAUGAUCAAGAA